Molecule: microRNA precursor, 63 nt
Organism: Caenorhabditis elegans
Lineage: Eukaryota; Metazoa; Nematoda; Chromadorea; Rhabditida; Rhabditidae
Source: Ensembl
GAUGGCUGGAAUAUCGGUAUUCUCGGCUGAAACAUGCACUAAAUACCGCAUUCCAACCAACAA